This 441-nucleotide ribosomal RNA is filed under the name uncultured bacterium. RNAcentral's name for it is "partial 16S ribosomal RNA". It matches the Rfam family "Bacterial small subunit ribosomal RNA", at positions 28 to 507 of the family's 1533-position model. The record is from RNAcentral.
GAUGAACGCUGGCGGCGUGCCUAAUACAUGCAAGUCGAACGGGGAGUAGCAAUACUCUUAGUGGCGAACGGGUGAGUAACGCGUUGGUACCUGCCCCGAAGCGGGGUAUAACGGACCGAAAUGUCCGCUAAUCCCCCAUGUGCUCGGUAACGAGUAAAUGUGAACACCACUUUGGGGGGGGCCUGCGUCCCAUCAGCUAGUUGGUAAGGUAACGGCUUACCAAGGCGAUGACGGGUAGGGGACCUGAGAGGGUGGCCCCCCACAAUGGAACUGAAACACGGUCCAUACACCUACGGGUGGCAGCAGUAGGGAAUAUUGGUAAUGGGCGCAAGCCUGAACCAGCAACGCCGCGUGGGCGAUGACGGCCUUCGGGUUGGAAAGCACUUUUGACUGGGACGGGGAAGGACGGUACCGGUCGAAUCAGCCUCGGCUAACUACGUG